Molecule: ribosomal RNA, 468 nt
Filed under: uncultured bacterium
Lineage: Bacteria
Description: partial 16S ribosomal RNA
Rfam family: Bacterial small subunit ribosomal RNA
Source: RNAcentral
GACGAACGCUGGCGGCGUGCUUAACACAUGCAAGUCGAACGGAAAGGCCCUGCUUUUGUGGGGUGCUCGAGUGGCGAACGGGUGAGUAACACGUGAGUAACCUGCCCUUGACUUUGGGAUAACUUCAGGAAACUGGGGCUAAUACCGGAUAGGAGCUACUGCUGCAUGGUGGGGGUUGGAAAGUUUCGGCGGUUGGGGAUGGACUCGCGGCUUAUCAGCUUGUUGGUGGGGUAGUGGCUUACCAAGGCUUUGACGGGUAGCCGGCCUGAGAGGUUGACCGGCCACAUUGGGACUGAGAUACGGCCCAGACUCCUACGGGAGGCAGCAGUGGGGAAUAUUGCACAAUGGGCGGAAGCGUGAUGCAGCAACGCCGCGUGCGGGAUGACGGCCUUCGGGUUGUAAACCGCUUUCGCCUGUGACGAAGCGUGAGUGACGGUAAUGGGUAAAGAAGCACCGGCUAACUACGUG